UUUCCGUAGGUGAACCUGCGGAAGGAUCAAUACAGUAGUCGCCCGGGUUGCCGCAAGGCCUCCCGGGUAACCUACCACCCUUUGUUUAUUACACUUUGUUGCUUUGGCAGGCCUGCCCUCGGGCUGCUGGCUCCGGCCGGCGAGCGCUUGCCAGAGGACCUAAACUCUGUUUGUCUAUACUGUCUGAGUACUAUAUAAUAGUUAAAACUUUCAACAACGGAUCUCUUGGUACUG
RNAcentral lists this unclassified non-coding RNA (234 nucleotides) under plant metagenome. RNAcentral describes it as "partial contains small subunit ribosomal RNA, internal transcribed spacer 1, and 5.8S ribosomal RNA". The record is from RNAcentral.